Molecule: unclassified non-coding RNA, 1265 nt
Filed under: Ooceraea biroi (clonal raider ant)
Lineage: Eukaryota; Metazoa; Arthropoda; Insecta; Hymenoptera; Formicidae
Description: uncharacterized LOC105281721, transcript variant X2
Source: RNAcentral
UCGCCAGAUCGGCGCCACCGUGUACACCACCGGCGUAUACUAGUCCACACUUUUAGCGGCAGUUGCCCAGUCUAAGGUCCAAUCCCCGAACCGAACGGUCGCCCGAAAUACUUAGCGAACGAGUGUGGUUAGCAGUUCAGUAGAGCGGCAAAAUGGACGCGCGAUUCAGAAGCAAUCUCGACAUGAUCGGGCGUAACGAGCCCAUCACAAGGAAGGCGAAGUUUUGGCAGAGCUAUGUACGGGCCUUGAAAGGCACUGAUGACAUCAGAGCUCCCGAGCACACUCACAGGCCCCGUGGCAUUUUCCGCUCGGAUUUUCCUGAGCUGCAUUCCACCUCGUGGCCGUUUGGAAAGUCAAUCUACGAAAAUCCGAUUCACGCAGCCGAUCGUAUUAAUGUUCCCGGAUACAGGUAUUUGCCCAUGCACCGUGAGAUCUACGGUUACUCGCCGAGGCAGCUGUAUCCCCAUCAGUACAAACCCGUAGAACGCUUCACCCCUGCGAAACCAUUCGACGCUGAGAAGGCUUGGAAAGAUCAUCUGAAUCGCUUGGCGGACAUCGACAGACUCUAUCCAUCCAAAUCACCGCUUCUGUCUCGUCACAUAAGCCCACCGCUCAGUACGAAACGACUGUUCGACAUUUACGGUAAUCUCGUGAACGACAUACUGCCGUAUCCGUCCCUGCUGCGUAGGAAACCGCUCUUCGAUCUCCUGGAACCGUCACCAAUGGCACCUAUCAGUGCGUUCACCAGGGACCCAUGGUGGUACCCGAGCUACUCGCCUUAUAUUCCGAGCUACGCUCAAUAUCGCACACCAUUCUAUCUGAGGGACAGCUACCUCAGUCCAAUUAAACGUGUCUAUCUGUGGAGUCGACACCCCAUCAGGCCCUUCGAAUGUGUUAUCUCUACAAGAAUGUUCCUUAAUCCUUCUGGUAAUUAUUAAUUAAUUACCGAGCCGUUACUCUCCGCCGAGGAGCCGCUGACAGAAUCUCGAACACGCGCUCACGUCUACUGAUGACUGUCUGGCGCCACACGGAAAACGUGAAACGUAAAACAAUGAAAAAAGAAAAAUAAUGCCCGAAAAAUGAAAAUCAACCAAAAAAAAGAAAGAAAACUUGUGCACCACGUCCCGAGAGAAUUUUUUGGUGUCUCUAUCAGAAUACAUACCGUUUCCACGGAGUUUAUUUAUUAAUAUUUCCCGUCACAUGAUUUAUUGUACUGUUCAUCCGUGAUCUAUCUACGAAAAUAAAAAAACACUGCCAAAAUUUUA